Molecule: ribosomal RNA, 253 nt
Filed under: uncultured bacterium
Lineage: Bacteria
Description: partial 16S ribosomal RNA
Rfam family: Bacterial small subunit ribosomal RNA
Source: RNAcentral
UACGAAGGGUGCAAGCGUUACUCGGAAUUACUGGGCGUAAAGCGUGCGUAGGUGGUUUUUUAAGUCCGUUGUGAAAGCCCUGGGCUCAACCUGGGAAUGGCAGUGGAUACUGGAAAGCUAGAGUGCGGUAGAGGGUAGUGGAAUUCCCGGUGUAGCAGUGAAAUGCGUAGAGAUCGGGAGGAACACCUGUGGCGAAAGCGGCUCACUGGACAGUAACUGACGCUGAUGCACGAAAGCUAGGGGAGCAAACAGG